RNAcentral lists this ribosomal RNA (164 nucleotides) under uncultured bacterium. RNAcentral's name for it is "partial 16S rRNA". It matches the Rfam family "Bacterial small subunit ribosomal RNA", at positions 355 to 511 of the family's 1533-position model. The record is from RNAcentral.
UAGGGAAUCUUCGGCAAUGGGGGCAACCCUGACCGAGCAACGCCGCGUGAGUGAAGAAGGUUUCGGAUCGUAAAGCUCUGUUGUAAGAGAAGAACGUGUGUGAGAGUGGAAAGUUCACACAGUGACGGUAACUUACCAGAAAGGGACGGCUAACUACGUGCCAG